This 301-nucleotide ribosomal RNA is filed under the name uncultured bacterium. Its description in RNAcentral is "partial 16S ribosomal RNA". It matches the Rfam family "Bacterial small subunit ribosomal RNA", at positions 509 to 807 of the family's 1533-position model. The record is from RNAcentral.
CAGUAGCCACGGUAAUACAGAGGGUGCGAGCGUUAAUCGGAUUUACUGGGCGUAAAGCGUGCGUAGGCGGCUUUUUAAGUCGGAUGUGAAAUCCCUGAGCUUAACUUAGGAAUUGCAUUCGAUACUGGGAAGCUAGAGUAUGGGAGAGGAUGGUAGAAUUCCAGGUGUAGCGGUGAAAUGCGUAGAGAUCUGGAGGAAUACCGAUGGCGAAGGCAGCCAUCUGGCCUAAUACUGACGCUGAGGUACGAAAGCAUGGGGAGCAAACAGGAUUAGAUACCCGUGUAGUCCCUGUCUCUUAUAC